RNAcentral lists this ribosomal RNA (744 nucleotides) under uncultured bacterium. Its description in RNAcentral is "bacterial SSU rRNA". It matches the Rfam family "Bacterial small subunit ribosomal RNA", at positions 8 to 796 of the family's 1533-position model. The record is from RNAcentral.
AGAGUUUGAUCCUGGCUCAGAGCGAACGCUGGCGGCAGGCUUAACACAUGCAAGUCGAACGGGCGUAGCAAUACGUCAGUGGCAGACGGGUGAGUAACACGUGGGAACGUACCUCUUGGUUCGGAACAACACAGGGAAACUUGUGCUAAUACCGAAUGUGCCCUUCGGGGGAAAGAUUUAUCGCCUUUAGAGCGGCCCGCGUCUGAUUAGCUAGUUGGUGAGGUAAAGGCUCACCAAGGCGACGAUCAGUAGCUGGUCUGAGAGGAUGAUCAGCCACAUUGGGACUGAGACACGGCCCAAACUCCUACGGGAGGCAGCAGUGGGGAAUCUUGCGCAAUGGGCGAAAGCCUGACGCAGCCAUGCCGCGUGAAUGAUGAAGGUCUUAGGAUUGUAAAAUUCUUUCACCGGGGACGAUAAUGACGGUACCCGGAGAAGAAGCCCCGGCUAACUUCGUGCCAGCAGCCGCGGUAAUACAGAGGGUGCAAGCGUUAAUCGGAAUUACUGGGCGUAAAGCGCGCGUAGGCGGUUGUGUAAGUUGGAGGUGAAAUCCCCGGGCUCAACCUGGGCAUUGCCUUCAAAACUGCACGGCUAGAGUAUGGGAGAGGAAGGUAGAAUUCCAGGUGUAGCGGUGAAAUGCGUAGAGAUCUGGAGGAAUACCGAUGGCGAAGGCAGCCUUCUGGCCUAAUACUGACGCUGAGGUGCGAAAGCAUGGGGAGCAAACAGGAUUAGAUACCCUGGUAGUCC